AUGUUCGAUUCAGGGUCCCAAGUGCCAGCCUUUGUAUCACUGUGGUGGACUUUUGGUGGAGGAACCAGACUGGAUGUUGGAAGUGAUGCCCGUCCCACCCUGACGGUGCUGCCCCCCUCCACUGAGCAGCUGCAGCAGGGGACGGCCACGCUCAUGUGCCUGGCCAACAAGGGCUUCCCCUCAGACUGGAGUCUGGCCUGGAAGGUGGACGGCAGCAGCAGCAGCAGCAGCAGCAGCAUCAGCUGGGAGCAGAGCAGCAGCCCCGGGGUGCUGGAGAAGGACGGCCACUACAGCUGGAGCAGCACCCUGAGGCUCUCUGCAGACCAGUGGAGGAAGGUGGGCUCUGUGACCUGUGAGGCCACCCAGGGCUCCCAGACUCCGCUCUCAGAGACUCUGAGGAGAGACCAGUGUCCCCAGUCCUGAUCUGACUCACUGGUUUUACUCUGCUACUGCUCUCAGUCUGCACUCUUUCUCUGUUUCUCUCAUGAUGUUUCAACAUUAACUUGUUCUUGCUUGUGUUGUUAGUUUUAACAUUUUCAAACAAUAAAGAAUUCCAUCGUAGAUUAUAAAAGUGACGGGUCUUUUGAAUUCCUUUCUUUUACAAGUGUUAUAUAU
Molecule: non-coding RNA, 615 nt
Organism: Centropristis striata (black sea bass)
Lineage: Eukaryota; Metazoa; Chordata; Actinopteri; Perciformes; Serranidae
Source: the annotation of a RefSeq genome assembly